This 415-nucleotide ribosomal RNA is filed under the name uncultured bacterium. RNAcentral's name for it is "bacterial SSU rRNA". It matches the Rfam family "Archaeal small subunit ribosomal RNA", at positions 330 to 747 of the family's 1478-position model. The record is from RNAcentral.
GCGCAGCAGGCGAGAAUACUGUGCAAUGCGCGAAAGCGCGACACGGGGAGCUUGAGUGUUUUGGCAUAGCCAAGACUUUUCUCAUUCCUAAAAAGCAUGAGGAAUAAGUGCUGGGUAAGACGGGUGCCAGCCGCCGCGGUAACACCCGCAGCACAAGUGGUGGUCACUUUUAUUGAGCCUAAAGCGUUCGUAGCCGGUUUUGUAAAUCUUUAGAUAAAGCCUGAAGCUUAACUCCAGAAAGUCUAAAGAGACUGCAAGACUUGAGAUCGGGUGAGGUUAAACGUACUUUCAGGGUAGGGGUAAAAUCCUGUAAUCCCGGAAGGACGACCAGUGGCGAAAGCGUUUAACUAGAACGAAUCUGACGGUAAGGAACGAAGGCUAGGGUAGCAAACCGGAUUAGAUACCCGUGUAGUCC